AUGUCCCACUUUGCUACACCAUUUAUAGUUAUAAAUUUGGGUUGUGAAAUGGUAUAUGUUAUUGAUCAAAGGCUGCAAUCACAAAACGUACCUGCAGACAAAGCAGAAAGAGUGCUUACAGAUAUAGUGACUGUAUUGCUACACCCUAAGCUUCUAGAUGAACUGUUUAUACCACAACCGGUAGGCUCUCAUACUACAAUAAGGCAGCUGCUACAAGAUAUUUCCGCUACUUCCAUCAUGAAGCUGGACGAUUACUCUCUCAGCAAAUUAUGGGAUCUCAUGACUAUGAUAUUUAAAUGGCAACUUUCAGUAACAACUUGCCAAAACAUAUUUGACAUAAGCUGCCGACAUUUACGAAACAUAGCAUCUUUGAUGCCGGAAUACUUCUCAAAGGCUUUCAUAGAGAAUGCAUUGAGGAGAUUUGAAAUACUAUCAGAUAUGUUCACAGAUGAAGACUUCAAGGCAUUGAAUAACACUCUAAUACUCUGGUUUUCAGAAUAUCACACAAAAAUAUCCGUCCUCAUUAGACUAGGUCUACAACAUAAGGACGGUACUCUGAGUCUACCGUCAACAAUUGAUUCGAAAAUCCUACACAACUUAGGUGAAAACAUAUACAAAUAUGAUAUGAAAAGAUACUUCAUUGACGAAAACAGUACCGAUACGAAUUCAGGAGAAAUAAAAUGUUUACUUUCCAAAAUAGAUAAAGUGCAUCAUGACAAAAAAUCCAUUAAAUUACAACUACCGAUUGAAUUUGGGACAAAUGAAAAGAAAACUUUAGAAAUAAACAAAAAUCAGAAAUUUCAAUAUAUCAAUACAAACAUCAAAAAUAGGGAAAAUGAUUUAAUAUACACAGCACAUGCACAGAAGUCAACUCAGGAUGAUCUUCUGCAAAUGUUGGAAGAUGAUAUGAAUUAAAACAUAAAGUUGCAGCUUUUACAGCCAUACUUGAAUAGAGACAAAUAUGAAUUACAUUAAUAAUUGUUCAAUAUCUAUAAUUUGAUAUUUUGACAUAAACUAUACCUGCCUAUAAUGGAAAUUUAAGCAGGGCUGACUCAGAGGCAGCUGUUUAUGGUCUGAAAUUGUUUCCAGCUUCCCAUAGGUUAAAUAAUAUUUUAGCCAACUUACCACUUGCCAGUCAAUAUGAUGUAGGACUGAUGAUAUUCAUUGAUAGAAUAAUUGAGAAAUGCUGUCUGCAGUA
RNA transcript from Aricia agestis (brown argus), 1198 nucleotides. It is a transcript of the gene named protein OSCP1, with no coding region annotated. The transcript is spliced from 3 exons. Lineage: Eukaryota; Metazoa; Arthropoda; Insecta; Lepidoptera; Lycaenidae. The record is from RefSeq and is a predicted model, not a curated record.